UCCCUGGCAUCUCACAGCUUCCUGGGUGCAGGGAAGACUGUGCAUGAAAGGCAGAGAUACAACUUACAGCACUGCCUCGUGGCCUCUGUGACUGAAUCAGAUGUUGAAUCACUGCGGAAAUACCCCAGGUAUGGUAUAGUUUGAACGAAGCCACUCACGUAUCCAUCUAAUUUCCGGAAGAUCUUGAUUGUGAAGGACUGUUUGUAGAUCCCAUCAGAGGAGCCCAGGUAAAUGAACAGUGACUGAUUCAAUUAACUGAUAAGAAUCUAUUAGCACGGAUCCAAACCAACUUGUUUGAACACAGAGCAUUAUGUACA
Long non-coding RNA from Leopardus geoffroyi (Geoffroy's cat), 317 nucleotides. RefSeq lists it as uncharacterized. The transcript is spliced from 3 exons. NCBI's taxonomy places the organism in Eukaryota, Metazoa, Chordata, Mammalia, Carnivora, Felidae. The record is from RefSeq and is a predicted model, not a curated record.